GAUCCUGGCUCAGGAUGAACGCUGACAGAAUGCUUAACACAUGCAAGUCUACUUGAACUUCGGUUUGGGUGGCGGACGGGUGAGUAACGCGUAAAGAACUUGCCUCACAGUUUGGGACAACCAAUUUGGAAACGAAUGCUAAUACCGAAUAUUAUGAUCGAAUGGCAUCGUUUGAUUAUGAAAGCUAUAUGCGCUGUGAGAGAGCUUUGCGUCCCAUUAGCUAGUUGGAGAGGUAACGG
RNAcentral lists this ribosomal RNA (239 nucleotides) under uncultured bacterium. RNAcentral's name for it is "partial 16S ribosomal RNA". It matches the Rfam family "Bacterial small subunit ribosomal RNA", at positions 15 to 263 of the family's 1533-position model. The record is from RNAcentral.